GGGAAGCCUAGCCCCGUAGUUUAACACCCGAACCACCUUGACCUUUCCAGCAGUUUAAUCCAUUCAUUCCUAGGUUGCAAGGUAUAUGGAGUUUGUUCUUCCAGUAUUCAAAACCCGCGGGCAGAGUUCUUACCAACUGACUUGAGUCAGCCUCCCGGAACCACAGCGAUCCUAGCCCAACAUACCCUAACUGUUUUACAGAUGGGGAAACAGGAUCAGCAGGAACAGCUCUCUGGUCCUCAGCUUACCCAGCUGUCAAAUGAUGGAGUCAUGUGUGAUAUGCCAGAUUCCUUCCAGCUUCCAUAGAUAUACAGAGGUUUUUACUUUCACUAAGAUGCAUUAAUUCAA
This is a long non-coding RNA of Cervus elaphus (red deer), 348 nucleotides long. RefSeq lists it as uncharacterized. NCBI's taxonomy places the organism in Eukaryota, Metazoa, Chordata, Mammalia, Artiodactyla, Cervidae. The record is from RefSeq and is a predicted model, not a curated record. The transcript has 2 exons.